GACGAACGCUGGCGGCGUGCUUAACACAUGCAAGUCGAACGAUGAAGAAGAGAAACGCGAACUUCGGUUCAAAUUUCACUUCGGAUUAGUGGCAGACGGGUGAGUAACGCGUGAGCAACCUACCUCUUACAAAGGGAUAGCCUCGGGAAACCGUGAUUAAUACCAUAUGACACAUUCAUAAGGCAUCUUAAGAAUGUUAAAGCUACGGCGGUAAGAGAUGGGCUCGCGUCCCAUUAGCUAGUUGGUGAGGUAACGGCCCACCAAGGCGACGAUGGGUAACCGGCCUGAGAGGGUGAACGGUCACAUUGGAACUGAGACACGGUCCAAACUCCUACGGGAGGCAGCAGUGGGGAAUAUUGUACAAUGGAGGGAACUCUGAUGCAGCGACGCCGCGUGAGCGAUGAAAGAAUUCGUUUCGUAAAGCUCUGUUCUAUGGGAAGAAAAGGACUGUACCAUAGGAGAAAGCCCCGGCUAAAUACGUG
Molecule: ribosomal RNA, 482 nt
Filed under: uncultured bacterium
Lineage: Bacteria
Description: partial 16S ribosomal RNA
Rfam family: Bacterial small subunit ribosomal RNA
Source: RNAcentral